GACGAACGCUGGCGGCGUGCUUAACACAUGCAAGUCGAGCGGUAAGGCCCUUUCGGGGGUACACGAGCGGCGAACGGGUGAGUAACACGUGGGUGACCUGCCCUUAGCUCUGGGAUAAGCCUGGGAAACUGGGUCUAAUACCGGAUAUGACUCCAUGACGCAUGUUGUGGGGUGGAAAGCCUUGUGCGGCUAGGGAUGGGCCCGCGGCCUAUCAGCUUGUUGGUGGGGUGAUGGCUACCAAGGCGACGACGGGUAGCCGGCCUGAGAGGGCGACCGGCCACACUGGGACUGAGACACGGCCCAGACUCCUACGGGAGGCAGCAGUGGGGAAUCUUGCGCAAUGGGCGAAAGCCUGACGCAGCGACGCCGCGUGGGGAUGACGGCCUCGG
Molecule: ribosomal RNA, 389 nt
Filed under: uncultured bacterium
Lineage: Bacteria
Description: bacterial SSU rRNA
Rfam family: Bacterial small subunit ribosomal RNA
Source: RNAcentral